Molecule: ribosomal RNA, 570 nt
Filed under: Enterobacter cloacae
Lineage: Bacteria; Pseudomonadati; Pseudomonadota; Gammaproteobacteria; Enterobacterales; Enterobacteriaceae
Description: partial 16S ribosomal RNA
Rfam family: Bacterial small subunit ribosomal RNA
Source: RNAcentral
CACAUGCAAGUCGACGGUAACAGGAAGCAGCUUGCUGCUUCGCUGACGAGUGGCGGACGGGAGARWAAUGUCUGGGAAACUGCCUGAUGGAGGGGGAUAACUACUGGAAACGGUAGCUAAUACCGCAUAACGUCGCAAGACCAAAGAGGGGGACCUUCGGGCCUCUUGCCAUCGGAUGUGCCCAGAUGGGAUUAGCUAGUAGGUGGGGUAACGGCUCACCUAGGCGACGAUCCCUAGCUGGUCUGAGAGGAUGACCAGCCACACUGGAACUGAGACACGGUCCAGACUCCUACGGGAGGCAGCAGUGGGGAAUAUUGCACARUGGGCGCAAGCCUGAUGCAGCCAUGCCGCGUGUAUGAARAAGGCCUUCGGGUUGUAAAGUACUUUCAGCGGGGAGGAAGGYGWUGAGGUUAAUAACCUYRKCRAUUGACGUUACCCGCARAARAAGCACCGGCUAACUCCGUGCCAGCAGCCGCGGUAAUACGGAGGGUGCAAGCGUUAAUCGGAAUUACUGGGCGUAAAGCGCACGCAGGCGGUCUGUCAAGUCRGAUGUGAAAUCCCCGGGCUCAA